GUCUUUUUGGUUAAUUAAUAUAAAGUCUGACCUGCCCACUGAAUAUAUUUUGAAGGGCCGCAGUAUUUUGACUGUGCAAAGGUAGCAUAAUCAUUAGUCUUUUAAUUGAAGGCUGGUAUGAAUGGUUGGAUGAGGUACAAGCUGUGUCAUAAAAAUUAUUUUUUGAAUUUACCUUUUUAGUCAAAAGGCUAAAAUAAAGUUAAAAGACGAGAAGACCCUAUAGAGCUUUAUAUAAUUUAUAUUUAAAUUAUUAAGAUUUUUUAAAUUUAAUUAUAUUAUUAUAUUUUGUUGGGGUGACAAUAAAAUUUAUAAAACUUUUAUUUUUAUUAAUCAUUUAUUUAUGUUUAUAUGAUCCAGUUUUAUUGAUUAUAAAUUUAAGUUACCUUAGGGAUAACAGCGUAAUUUUUUUUGAGAGUUCUUAUCGACAAAAAAGAUUGCGACCUCGAUGUUGGAUUAAGAGUAAUUUUGGGUGUAGAAGUUCAAAGUUUAAGUCUGUUCGACUUUUAAAUUCUUACAU
RNAcentral lists this ribosomal RNA (517 nucleotides) under Simulium sakishimaense. RNAcentral's name for it is "partial 16S ribosomal RNA". It matches the Rfam family "Bacterial large subunit ribosomal RNA", at positions 1825 to 2601 of the family's 2925-position model. The record is from RNAcentral. Lineage: Eukaryota; Metazoa; Arthropoda; Insecta; Diptera; Simuliidae.